CUAACGAAUAAGGGGUGGGCAAGUUCUGGUGUCAGCCGCCGCGGUAAAACCAGCACCUCAAGUGGUCAGGAUGAUUAUUGGGCCUAAAGCAUCCGUAGCCGGCUCUGUAAGUUUUCGGUUAAAUCUGUACGCUCAACGUACAGGCUGCCGGGAAUACUGCAGAGCUAGGGAGUGGGAGAGGUAGACGGUACUCGGUAGGAAGGGGUAAAAUCCUUUGAUCUAUUGAUGACCACCUGUGGCGAAGGCGGUCUACCAGAACACGUCCGACGGUGAGGGAUGAAAGCUGGGGGAGCAAACCGGAUUAGAUACCCGGGUAGUCCCAGCUGUAAACUAUGCAAACUCAGUGAUGCAUUGGCUUGUGGCCAAUGCAGUGCUGCAGGGAAGCCGUUAAGUUUGCCGCCUGGGAAGUACGUACGCAAGUAUGAAACUUAAAGGAAUUGGCGGGGGAGCACCACAAGGGGGAAG
RNAcentral lists this ribosomal RNA (465 nucleotides) under uncultured marine group I thaumarchaeote. RNAcentral's name for it is "bacterial SSU rRNA". It matches the Rfam family "Archaeal small subunit ribosomal RNA", at positions 428 to 892 of the family's 1478-position model. Lineage: Archaea; Thermoproteati; Nitrososphaerota. The record is from RNAcentral.